This 235-nucleotide unclassified non-coding RNA is filed under the name plant metagenome. RNAcentral's name for it is "partial contains small subunit ribosomal RNA, internal transcribed spacer 1, and 5.8S ribosomal RNA". The record is from RNAcentral.
UCUCCGUUGGCGAACCAGCGGAGGGAUCAUUACCGAAGUUACCUUCAAAACCCACUGUGAACCUUACCUCUUGCCGCGUUGUCUCGGCGGGAGGCGGUGUGCGUCGCGCGCCCUAGCGGGCCGCGCCGCUCCCGUCCCCGCCGGCAGCGCCAAACUCUAAAUGCACAGCGGACUGUACGUUCUGAUUUACAAAAAAAACAAGUUAAAACUUUCAACAACGGAUCUCUUGGUUCUG